This 445-nucleotide ribosomal RNA is filed under the name uncultured bacterium. RNAcentral's name for it is "bacterial SSU rRNA". It matches the Rfam family "Bacterial small subunit ribosomal RNA", at positions 354 to 796 of the family's 1533-position model. The record is from RNAcentral.
GUGAGGAAUAUUGGUCAAUGGACGAGAGUCUGAACCAGCCAAGUAGCGUGAAGGAUGACUGCCCUAUGGGUUGUAAACUUCUUUUAUACGGGAAUAAAGUGAGCCACGUGUGGCUUUUUGUAUGUACCGUAUGAAUAAGGAUCGGCUAACUCCGUGCCAGCAGCCGCGGUAAUACGGAGGAUCCGAGCGUUAUCCGGAUUUAUUGGGUUUAAAGGGAGCGUAGGCCGGAGAUUAAGCGUGUUGUGAAAUGUAGACGCUCAACGUCUGCACUGCAGCGCGAACUGGUUUCCUUGAGUACGCACAAAGUGGGCGGAAUUCGUGGUGUAGCGGUGAAAUGCUUAGAUAUCACGAAGAACUCCGAUUGCGAAGGCAGCUCACUAGACUGCAACUGACACUGAUGCUCGAAAGUGUGGGUAUCAAACAGGAUUAGAAACCCCAGUAGUCC